GAUGAAGAACGUAGCGAAAUGCGAUAAGUAAUGUGAAUUGCAGAAUUCAGUGAAUCAUCGAAUCUUUGAACGCGCAUUGCGCCCCUUGGUAUUCCGAGGGGCAUGCCUGUUCGAGCGUCAUAUUAACCACUCCCGCUUGCGGGGUCUUGGGCUUCGCCUCCGGGCGGGCCUUAAAAUCAGUGGCGGUGCCGUCGGGCUCUACGCGUAGUAAAUUUUCUCGCGAUAGGGUCCCGGUGGAUGCUUGCCAACAACCCCCAACUUCUUAAGGUUGACCUCGGAUCAGGUAGGGAUACCCGCUGAACUUAAGCAUAUCAAUAAGCGGAGGA
RNAcentral lists this unclassified non-coding RNA (326 nucleotides) under soil metagenome. RNAcentral describes it as "partial contains 5.8S ribosomal RNA, internal transcribed spacer 2, and large subunit ribosomal RNA". The stretch from base 1 to 120 matches the Rfam family "5.8S ribosomal RNA", at positions 35 to 154 of the family's 154-position model. The record is from RNAcentral.